GGGUUUUUGUACAAGUGUGUACUGACCCGGAGUGCUUGACGUGCAGGGGGUCAGCGGUUCAAGUCCGUUAGCGCCCACCA
RNAcentral lists this transfer RNA (80 nucleotides) under Acutalibacter sp. 1XD8-33. RNAcentral describes it as "tRNA-Val". Lineage: Bacteria; Bacillati; Bacillota; Clostridia; Eubacteriales; Acutalibacteraceae. The record is from RNAcentral.